GGGUCCCUACGGGGCGCAGCAGUGGGGAAUAUUGCACAAUGGGGGAAACCCUGAUGCAGCGACGCCGCGUGAGUGAAGAAGUAUUUCGGUAUGUAAGGCUCUAUCAGCAGGGAAGAAAAAAGACGGUACCUGAGUAAGAAGCCCCGGCUAACUACGUGCCAGCAGCCGCGGUAAUACGUAGGGGGCAAGCGUUAUCCGGAUUUACUGGGUGUAAAGGGAGCGUAGACGGCUGUGCAAGUCUGAAGUGAAAUGCCGGGGCUCAACCCCGGAACUGCUUUGGAAACUGUAC
RNAcentral lists this ribosomal RNA (289 nucleotides) under uncultured bacterium. RNAcentral describes it as "partial 16S ribosomal RNA". It matches the Rfam family "Bacterial small subunit ribosomal RNA", at positions 333 to 638 of the family's 1533-position model. The record is from RNAcentral.